This 342-nucleotide ribosomal RNA is filed under the name uncultured bacterium. RNAcentral's name for it is "bacterial SSU rRNA". It matches the Rfam family "Bacterial small subunit ribosomal RNA", at positions 28 to 369 of the family's 1533-position model. The record is from RNAcentral.
GACGAACGCUGGCGGCGUGCCUAACACAUGCAAGUCAACUUGACUGAAGGAGCAAUCUGACAGUAGAGUGGCGCAAAGGAUGCGUAACGCGUAAGUAACUUGCCCAAGGUAAGGAAUAACGUCGAGAAAUCGGCGCUAAUACCUCAUAAUGCAGCGGAUCCGCAUGGAUAUGUUGUUAAAGGUUUACCGCCUUGGGAUAGGCUUGCGUCUGAUUAGCUAGUUGGUGUGGUAAACGGCACACCAAGGCUACGAUCAGUAACUGGUCUGAGAGGAUGAUCAGUCACACUGGAACUGAGACACGGUCCAGACUCCUACGGGAGGCAGCAGUGAGGAAUAUUGGGC